AGACUCCAACCUUGGCUACAACGUCCUGUGGUAGGAGUCGACUCUAAAAUUUAAGUCGUAUUCCAGAAAGGUCGAUUCUAUAAUAAUUGUAGCGUAUAAGUGCGGUUGUCCGUUUGUUUCGCGCACCCAAAGUCCCCUUGAGUGGGGCUAUAGUCCAAAGAAGGUGCUAGACCUGUACGGGUGGCGAGACGAUCGGUUGGUUGCUCCUUGGAGUCGGGUUGCCUGGGAUCGCAGCCCAAAGUUGGUGGUAGACCUCAUCUAAGGCUAAAUAUGGCCACGAAACCGAUAGCAAACAAGUACCGUGAGGGAAAGUUGCAAAGAACUUUGAAGAGAGAGUUCAAGAGGGCGUGAAACCGCUGAGAUUGAAACGGAUAGAGUUGACUUAACUCGGCUGCAUUCAUCCGGUCGGUCUAGCGGUCCAAUGGUUUUGACUUCCUCGAAGAGGGCGAAGCCGUCGGCAACUGUUGGGCAUUUGAUCGGUGUAUUUGCGGCUGGUAUGCGCUGAGAGCUUUGCGAUCGCGUGUUGACAAACGUGCAGUGGACCAUUCCUUCCGGGCGUGGAAACCUUCGCGCUUUGAGACAUGUCGGUUGUAAGGUUUUGAAGAUGGCGUCUCCGCUAUGGUGCGUCAGCUUUUUCGAGCUGUUGUGGCUGCUGGAUGGUCGCAUGCGACUAUCUGCAGUCAUCGAUGGUGCGAGAUGAGUGUGGACGCGGCGAGGCGUUGAUCUCGGUGUGAACGUCGACCACCUAUCCGACCCGUCUUGAAACACGGACCAAGGAGUCUAGCAUAUGCGCGAGUCAUUGGGUGAUAAACCUAAAGGCGUAAUGAAAGUAAAAGUCGCCCCGAUGCGACCGAUAUGGGAUCCAUGCGGUUUUUGAAUCCGCACGGCGCACCAUAGACCCGUCCCCGUUUGCUUGCAAUAGGGCGGAGGUAGAGCGCAUACGCUGGGACCCGAAAGAUGGUGAACUAUGCCUGAGCAGAAUGAAGCCAGAGGAAACUCUGGUGGAAGUCCGAAGCGGUUCUGACGUGCAAAUCGAUCGUCUGACUUGGGUAUAGGGGCGAAAGACUAAUCGAACCAUCUAGUAGCUGGUUCCCUCUGAAGUUUCCCCCAGGAUAGCUGGAGUUCGUGUUGUGCAGUUAUAUUCGGUAAAGCGAAUGAUUAGAGGAAUUGGGGACGAAACGACCUCAACCUAUUCUCAAACUUUCAAUGGGUAUGAAGUCCCGCUUGCUUGACGUUGCUGAAGCGUGGACAUUGAAUGUGAGCUCCAAGUGGGCCAUUUUUGGUAAGCAGAACUGGCGCUGUGGGAUGAACCAAACGUCGGGUUAAAGUGCCAAACUUCCCGCUCAUGAGACCCCAUGAAAGGCGUUGGUUGAUAUAGACAGCAGGACGGUGGCCAUGGAAGUCGGAAUCCGCUAAGGAGUGUGUAACAACUCACCUGCCGAAUCAACUAGCCCUGAAAAUGGAUGGCGCUUGAGCGUGAGACUUAUACCCGACCGUUGCUUAGCUUGUGCGUUUUUCGUAUGAGAGAUUCGCCUGGCCGCAACGAGUAAGAGGGUCUCAGUGGUUUGCGUUGAAGGCUUUGAGCGUAGGCCCGGCUGGAGCUUCCACUGGUGCAGAUCUUGGUGGUAGUAGCAAAUAUUCAAGUGAGAUCCUUGAAGACUGAAGUGGAGAAGGGUUCCACGUGAACAGCAGUUGAAUGUGGGUCAGUCGGCACUGUCCGCAAGAUCUCAAAAAGGGUCAGCUCCACCUAGGAGAUGAACCGCAGAAGACAUUCCGCACGAUAAGAUACAAGCGGAAACUCCGUUUAAGCAACGGAGAAACGGACAGGCCAACUGGUUCCAUAGUGAGCACCACUCCCAUGACGAAAACUCAAAGCCUCUAAAUCUCACUAUCAAAUGAACGGGUUUGAAGUGAAGAGGGCACUCCACGGUCGAAGUCCAGACU
This is a ribosomal RNA of Toxocara canis (dog roundworm), 1944 nucleotides long. It matches the Rfam family "Eukaryotic large subunit ribosomal RNA", at positions 1 to 1790 of the family's 3401-position model. The record is from Rfam. NCBI's taxonomy places the organism in Eukaryota, Metazoa, Nematoda, Chromadorea, Rhabditida, Toxocaridae.